Molecule: long non-coding RNA, 392 nt
Filed under: Homo sapiens (human)
Lineage: Eukaryota; Metazoa; Chordata; Mammalia; Primates; Hominidae
Description: HSALNT0330849
Source: RNAcentral
UAAUGCUGAGAUGACAAUUUCUCCCUGGAGCCUUCAUUUUCUCAUCAUUAGGUGGUCUGCUGCAGAGAACUAGAGGUUCAACUCCUGAUCCAUGGAGACUCACCAGUGCUAAGGGACUUCUGUUCAAUUGGAUCAAACUUGGCUGUAUUGUGGUGCUGAAGAUGCAAGGGAGGAAAGAGGCUGUUUGGGCAGAAAAUGAUGAUCCUUAGCUGCUAACUCUGUCAGCACAAAGAGAGUGGGACUGCAGAUGACCUCCAACACUGAAUAAACCAAAAAGGAUUCAUUUAACGUUUGAGAACAAAUUCUCAGGUUCAGGAGUUCAUAUGCAGAUUUGUUAUGCCAGUAAAUUGUGUAUUACAGGGGUUUGGUGUACAGAUUAUUUCAUCGACCAG